AUUGAACGCUGGCGGCAGGCUUAACACAUGCAAGUCGAGCGGGGGAAGGUAGCUUGCUACCGGACCUAGCGGCGGACGGGUGAGUAAUGCUUAGGAAUCUGCCUAUUAGUGGGGGACAACAUCUCGAAAGGGAUGCUAAUACCGCAUACGUCCUACGGGAGAAAGCAGGGGAUCUUCGGACCUUGCGCUAAUCGAUGAGCCUAAGUCGGAUUAGCUAGUUGGUGGGGUAAAGGCCUACCGAGGCGACGAUCUGUAACGGGUCUGCGAGGAUGAUCCGCCACACUGGGACUGAGACACGGCCCAGACUCCUACGGGAGGCAGCAGUGGGGAAUAUUGGACAAUGGGGGGAACCCUGAUCCAGCCAUGCCGCGUGUGUGAAGAAGGCCUUAUGGUUGUAAAGCACUUUAAGCGAGGAGGAGGCUACUUUAGUUAAUACCUAGAGAUAGUGGACGUUACUCGCAGAAUAAGCACCGGCUAACUCUGUGCCAGCCGCCGCCGUAA
This 501-nucleotide ribosomal RNA is filed under the name uncultured bacterium. Its description in RNAcentral is "partial 16S ribosomal RNA". It matches the Rfam family "Bacterial small subunit ribosomal RNA", at positions 30 to 523 of the family's 1533-position model. The record is from RNAcentral.